UACGGAGGGGGCUAGCGUUGUUCGGAAUUACUGGGCGUAAAGCGCGCGUAGGCGGACCUGCAAGUCGGGGGUGAAAGCCCGAGGCUCAACCUCGGAACUGCCUUCGAUACUGCGGGUCUCGAGUCCGGGAGAGGUGAGUGGAACUGCGAGUGUAGAGGUGAAAUUCGUAGAUAUUCGCAAGAACACCAGUGGCGAAGGCGGCUCACUGGGCCGGUACUGACGCUGAGGUGCGAAAGCGUGGGGAGCAAACAGG
This 253-nucleotide ribosomal RNA is filed under the name uncultured bacterium. RNAcentral describes it as "partial 16S ribosomal RNA". It matches the Rfam family "Bacterial small subunit ribosomal RNA", at positions 524 to 776 of the family's 1533-position model. The record is from RNAcentral.